GGGGGUCUAGCUCAAAUGGUAGAGCGCGCGCUUCGCAUGCGUGAGGCACUGGGAUCGAUACCCAGGUCCUCCA
Linderina pennispora is the source of this 73-nucleotide transfer RNA. It matches the Rfam family "tRNA". From Rfam's summary of the family: Transfer RNA (tRNA) molecules are approximately 80 nucleotides in length. Their secondary structure includes four short double-helical elements and three loops (D, anti-codon, and T loops). The record is from Rfam. NCBI's taxonomy places the organism in Eukaryota, Fungi, Kickxellomycota, Kickxellomycetes, Kickxellales, Kickxellaceae.